RNAcentral lists this ribosomal RNA (3342 nucleotides) under Trichococcus collinsii. It matches the Rfam family "Bacterial large subunit ribosomal RNA". Lineage: Bacteria; Bacillati; Bacillota; Bacilli; Lactobacillales; Carnobacteriaceae. The record is from RNAcentral.
UUAAGUGAAUAAGGGUGCACGGUGGAUGCCUAGGCACUAGGAGCCGAUGAAGGACGGGACUAACACCGAUAUGCUCCGGGGAGCUGUAAGUAAGCUUUGAUCCGGAGAUUUCCGAAUGGGGCAACCCAAUAUCUUUGAUAGGAUAUUACGUUACACUGAAUACAUAGGUGUAUCGAGGAACACGCAGGGAACUGAAACAUCUCAUUACCUGCAGGAAGAGAAAGAAAAUUCGAUUCCCUUAGUAGCGGCGAGCGAAACGGGAAAAGCCCAAACCAAAGAGCUUGCUCUUUGGGGUUGUAGGACUGGGACAUGAGACUGCAAUGGAUAGCAGAAGCCAACUGGAAAGUUGCGCAACAUAGGGUAAUAGCCCCGUAUGCGAAAUCCAAAUCAGCUCUACCAGUAUCCUGAGUACGGCGGAACACGAGAAAUUCCGUCGGAAUCCGGGAGGACNNNNNNNNNNNNNNNNNNNNNNNNNNNNNNNNNNNNNNNNNNNNNNNNNNNNNNNNNNNNNNNNNNNNNNNNNNNNNNNNNNNNNNNNNNNNNNNNNNNNNNNNNNNNNNNNNNNNNNNNNNNNNNNNNNNNNNNNNNNNNNNNNNNNNNNNNCGAGGAACACGCAGGGAACUGAAACAUCUCAUUACCUGCAGGAAGAGAAAGAAAAUUCGAUUCCCUUAGUAGCGGCGAGCGAAACGGGAAAAGCCCAAACCAAAGAGCUUGCUCUUUGGGGUUGUAGGACUGGGACAUGAGACUGCAAUGGAUAGCAGAAGCCAACUGGAAAGUUGCGCAACAUAGGGUAAUAGCCCCGUAUGCGAAAUCCAAAUCAGCUCUACCAGUAUCCUGAGUACGGCGGAACACGAGAAAUUCCGUCGGAAUCCGGGAGGACCAUCUCCCAAGGCUAAAUACUCCCUAGUGACCGAUAGUGAACCAGUACCGUGAGGGAAAGGUGAAAAGCACCCCGGAAGGGGAGUGAAACAGUACCUGAAACCGUGUGCCUACAAGUAGUCAAAGCCCGUUAAUGGGUGAUGGCGUACCUUUUGUAGAAUGGACCGGCGAGUUACGAUUUCAUGCGAGGUUAAGUUGAAAAGACGGAGCCGCAGCGAAAGCGAGUCUGAAUAGGGCGAAUAAGUAUGAGGUCGUAGACCCGAAACCAAGUGACCUACCCAUGUCCAGGUUGAAGGUGCGGUAAUACGCACUGGAGGACCGAACCCACGCACGUUGAAAAGUGCGGGGAUGAGGUGUGGGUAGCGGAGAAAUUCCAAUCGAACUUGGAGAUAGCUGGUUCUCUCCGAAAUAGCUUUAGGGCUAGCCUCGGAUAUGCGAAUCAUGGAGGUAGAGCACUGUUUGGACUAGGGGCCCUUCUCGGGUUACCGAAUUCAGAUAAACUCCGAAUGCCAUUGAUUUAGAUCCGGGAGUCAGACUGCGAGUGAUAAGAUCCGUAGUCAAAAGGGAAACAGCCCAGACCACCAGCUAAGGUCCCAAAGUAUCUGUUAAGUGGAAAAGGAUGUGGGGUUGCACAGACAACUAGGAUGUUGGCUCAGAAGCAGCCAUCAUUUAAAGAGUGCGUAAUAGCUCACUAGUCGAGUGACCCUGCGCCGAAAAUUUACCGGGGCUAAACAGAUCACCGAAGCUGUGGAUGGAACCUUCGGGUUCCGUGGUAGGAGAGCGUUCUAAGGGCAUCGAAGCCAGAUCGUGAGGACUGGUGGAGCGCUUAGAAGUGAGAAUGCCGGUAUGAGUAGCGCAAGACGGGUGAGAAUCCCGUCCACCGAAUAACUAAGGUUUCCUGGGGAAGGCUCGUCCUCCCAGGGUUAGUCGGGACCUAAGCUGAGGCCGAUAGGCGUAGGCGAUGGACAACAGGUUGAUAUUCCUGUACCAGUUGCUUUUGUUUGAGCGAUGGAGGGACGCAGGAGGCUAAGGAAUGCACACGAUCGGAAAUGUGUGUCCAAGCAGCAAGUCUGAGAACGAGUGAAAUGCUUUUUCUCUCAAGGACAAGCUGUGAUGGGGAGCGAAAUUAAGUAGCGAAGUUCCUGAUGUCACACUGCCAAGAAAAGCUUCUAGUGAGAAAGUAACUGCCCGUACCGCAAACCGACACAGGUAGUUGAGGAGAGAAUCCUAAGGUGUGCGAGAGAACUCUCGUUAAGGAACUCGGCAAAAUGACCCCGUAACUUCGGGAGAAGGGGUGCUGACCGCAAGGUCAGCCGCAGUGAAUAGGCCCAAGCGACUGUUUAUCAAAAACACAGGUCUCUGCAAAAUCGAAAGAUGACGUAUAGGGGCUGACGCCUGCCCGGUGCUGGAAGGUUAAGAGGAGAGGUUAGCGCAAGCGAAGCUUUGAAUUGAAGCCCCAGUAAACGGCGGCCGUAACUAUAACGGUCCUAAGGUAGCGAAAUUCCUUGUCGGGUAAGUUCCGACCCGCACGAAAGGCGUAACGAUUUGGGCACUGUCUCAACGAGAGACUCGGUGAAAUUAUAGUACCAGUGAAGAUGCUGGUUACCCGCGACAGGACGGAAAGACCCCAUGGAGCUUUACUGCAGUUUGAUAUUGCGUGUUUGUAUCACAUGUACAGGAUAGGUAGGAGCCAAUGAUACCGGGACGCCAGUCUCGGAGGAGGCAACGGUGGGAUACUACCCUUGUGAUAUGACCACUCUAACCCGCUGCUCUUAGCGAGCAGGGAGACAGUGUCAGACGGGCAGUUUGACUGGGGCGGUCGCCUCCAAAAAUGUAACGGAGGCGCCCAAAGGUUCCCUCAGAAUGGUUGGAAAUCAUUCGUAGAGUGUAAAGGCAGAAGGGAGCUUGACUGCGAGACCUACAAGUCGAGCAGGGACGAAAGUCGGGCUUAGUGAUCCGGUGGUUCCGCAUGGAAGGGCCAUCGCUCAACGGAUAAAAGCUACCCUGGGGAUAACAGGCUUAUCUCCCCCAAGAGUUCACAUCGACGGGGAGGUUUGGCACCUCGAUGUCGGCUCAUCGCAUCCUGGGGCUGUAGUCGGUCCCAAGGGUUGGGCUGUUCGCCCAUUAAAGCGGUACGCGAGCUGGGUUCAGAACGUCGUGAGACAGUUCGGUCCCUAUCCGUCGCGGGCGUUGGAAAUUUGAGAGGAGCUGUCCUUAGUACGAGAGGACCGGGAUGGACACACCGCUGGUGUACCAGUUGUUCUGCCAAGAGCAUCGCUGGGUAGCUAUGUGUGGACGGGAUAAACGCUGAAAGCAUCUAAGCGUGAAGCCCCCCUCAAGAUGAGAUUUCCCAUCACUUUAAGUGAGUAAGACCCCUGAGAGAUGAUCAGGUAGAUAGGUUGGGAGUGGAAGUACAGCGAUGUAUGGAGCGGACCAAUACUAAUCGGUCGAGGACUUAACCAA